Molecule: ribosomal RNA, 253 nt
Filed under: uncultured bacterium
Lineage: Bacteria
Description: partial 16S ribosomal RNA
Rfam family: Bacterial small subunit ribosomal RNA
Source: RNAcentral
UACGUAGGGGGCGAGCGUUGUCCGGAUUUAUUGGGCGUAAAGAGCGUGUAGGCGGCCAGGUAGGUCUGCUGUGAAAACUCGAGGCUCAACCUCGAGACGUCGGCGGAAACCAUCUGGCUAGAGUCCGGAAGAGGAGAGUGGAAUUCCUGGUGUAGCGGUGAAAUGCGCAGAUAUCAGGAGGAACACCUAUAGCGAAGGCAGCUUGCUGGGACGUAACUGACGCUAAGGCGCGAAAGCGUGGGGAGCGAACAGG